UCACCGCUGCUUCUCACGCCGCUGGGAGUUUCCUCCACCCCAUCGAAUUCGAGUUCCUCCCCUCUGAUUCCUCUUCCUCUCCGCCUAAGGUUUCCGACCCCGAUCCCAUUACGCGACACCCGUGAUCUGGAAGCGUUCCGUGGCAGACAGGCGCGGCGCCAUUUCGAGGGGUGGCGGUGGAUUCUGACGAGGGAGGUGCGUCUGUCAGCAACCUAUUCUUUGAGGCGAAGUGGAGAGAAGAGAGGAAGGAAGGGCAGGAAUCAUGAUGACGGUGACCCGAAGCUCGGUGAGCACCAUGUUCAUUGUGUUCGUCUGCACUCGCCUAAUCUGCGCCAUGAUGCACCUCAGGGACACCAGAAUGGCUUUCCUUGCCGCCACCAGAUCCGACCUCGGCAUUGCACUGUUUCGAUUUGUUACUUUGCGCUGUGUGGAUAAAGGAGACCCUUUUCUCUACGAGCUAUGUUGUUCUGUUUAAGUACAUCCUUGUGGUGGAGUGGGCUUGGAUCAAUGCACGCCCGGUUUCCAGCAUUGAUUUCCCUUGAGACAUAAAUGGGGGCUGCAAAGGAGGGAGGUGUCAUGAGUGACGAUAGGAGGGAGGUGUACACGGCCUUGCGUCAUUGGAAAUGUUGUUUUAAUUUUACUGUUUUAUUGGUCCUUUUGAUCAUUUGUUUGCUUUUUCUGGACAAUCAGGAUGCAUGAAAUCUAAUCGAGUUUGAGUGCCUUUUAGCACUGGAAUUACCGAGAAAAGAUUGAUAUUGUACAGCUAGAACAUGGGGUCAAUGGGCUGGAACCAGUUGUAGUUGCUAAUUUUCCAAUAAAGAAGUUUGGUGAUCAGUCCCUUGCAUUGGGCCAGGAGGCACAUUGAGGUGUACCAAGAGACAGAUGUUUUGCGCAUUCUUCCAUCUUGUGGCCAUACAUUCCAUGUUACUUGCAUAGAUAUGGCUGAAACAACAUUCAACAUGCCCUGUCUGUAGAAUUUCAUUGCGAGAUUCUCCUGAUAGAGAACAUGCACUGUGACCUCUCUACAGUUCAGCCACCAGAACCUUUUCUCACCCUGAAACCUUUGUUGCAGAUACAUGCCACUAUCAAUUUGCACAGUCAUGUUACUCUCCAAGGGUAGCAGAAAACCAGAGAACCGUCUCCCCUCAGGAAGACCAGUUGAUGUCAUUGCCAUCGGGAUCCAGUUAUAAUGCCUUCUUGAUCUGUAGCCAACUGCUCCAUAUCAAGCAAAAACAAGAUACAUCAAAUAUCUACAAAAUUCUUUGCCACUCAAAUAACAGGAAAUAGAAUAUGCUUGAGAUUGAUCUCCAUGCCAAAUACAUAGGGAUUGAAGGGAUUUAGAAGCUAACAUCAUAUCUGUACAACUGUUUGUCAUGAGCUGAAUGCUGCUUUUUAUCCGGCAUGAUGUUUGUUGAUCAAUUGUUGGAGAUUGUUGAAAUGGGUGGUUUUUGGU
Molecule: long non-coding RNA, 1453 nt
Organism: Musa acuminata AAA Group (dessert banana)
Lineage: Eukaryota; Viridiplantae; Streptophyta; Magnoliopsida; Zingiberales; Musaceae
Exons: 4
Source: RefSeq, a predicted model, not a curated record